Molecule: ribosomal RNA, 482 nt
Filed under: uncultured bacterium
Lineage: Bacteria
Description: partial 16S ribosomal RNA
Rfam family: Bacterial small subunit ribosomal RNA
Source: RNAcentral
GACGAACGCUGGGGGCGUGCUUAACACAUGCAAGUCGAACGAUGAAGCCCAGCUUGCUGGGUGGAUUAGUGGCGAACGGGUGAGUAACACGUGGGCAACCUGCCCCAAACUCUGGGAUAACUCCUCGAAAGAGGUGCUAAUACCGGAUACGAACUAGGUAGACAUCUGCACUAGGUGGAAAGUUUUUAGGUUUGGGAUGGGCCCGCGGCCUAUCAGCUUGUUGGUGAGGUAACGGCUCACCAAGGCUACGACGGGUAACCGGCCUGAGAGGGCGACCGGUCACACUGGGACUGAGACACGGCCCAGACUCCUACGGGAGGCAGCAGUGGGGAAUAUUGCGCAAUGGGCGAAAGCCUGACGCAGCGACGCCGCGUGAGGGAUGAAGGUCUUCGGAUCGUAAACCUCUUUCAGUAGGGACGAAGCGAAAGUGACGGUACCUAAAGAAGAAGCACCGGCUAACUACGUGCCAGCAGCCGCCGCCG